Molecule: ribosomal RNA, 466 nt
Filed under: uncultured bacterium
Lineage: Bacteria
Description: partial 16S ribosomal RNA
Rfam family: Bacterial small subunit ribosomal RNA
Source: RNAcentral
GAUGAACGCUGGUGGCGUGCUUAACACAUGCAAGUCGAACGGAAAGGCUCCUGCUUGCAGGGGUACUCGAGUGGCGAACGGGUGAGUAACACGUGGGUGAUCUGCCCAGCACUUCGGGAUAAGCCUGGGAAACUGGGUCUAAUACCGGAUAGGACGAUGGUUUGGAUGCCAUUGUGGAAAGUUUUUUCGGUGUGGGAUGAGCUCGCGGCCUAUCAGCUUGUUGGUGGGGUAAUGGCCUACCAAGGCGUCGACGGGUAGCCGGCCUGAGAGGGUGUACGGCCACAUUGGGACUGAGAUACGGCCCAGACUCCUACGGGAGGCAGCAGUGGGGAAUAUUGCACAAUGGGCGCAAGCCUGAUGCAGCGACGCCGCGUGGGGGAUGACGGCCUUCGGGUUGUAAACUCCUUUCGCUAGGGACGAAGCGCAAGUGACGGUACCUGGAGAAGAAGCACCGGCUAACUACGUG